UAUUUGAUAUCUUAAAUAAAAGUAUUGAUUUUUUAAUUCAAUUUUAGUUCCUAACUUCAAAUAA
RNAcentral lists this transfer RNA (64 nucleotides) under Pelecinus polyturator. Its description in RNAcentral is "tRNA-Lys". Lineage: Eukaryota; Metazoa; Arthropoda; Insecta; Hymenoptera; Pelecinidae. The record is from RNAcentral.